Mastomys coucha (southern multimammate mouse) is the source of this 926-nucleotide long non-coding RNA. RefSeq lists it as uncharacterized. The transcript has 5 exons. Lineage: Eukaryota; Metazoa; Chordata; Mammalia; Rodentia; Muridae. The record is from RefSeq and is a predicted model, not a curated record.
UAUAACAAGAACACAUUGUUUGAGGCUGCUGAGUUUGUGUCAAAUAGUCACUCAACAGAGGGGAAACAAACAUAAUGAGACAGCACUGGAGACUCAGGAAAAGGACUACAAUGCUGAGUGAAGGUGAGGACACAGGACUAAGACAGAGAUGUACAACCAUUAAGCUCUGAAGGGACAGAUAGAUAAAAUUUCCUGAUGGUUGCUGCCCUCUAAUGGUCUAAUUCACAAGUGAUAAUGGAAGGAAUGAAUGUCCAACUGAAUUGGGUAGUUACUCUAGGAGCUGAGGCAACAUUACUUUGACUAGAUCUACCCUUCAAAGGAUCUUACAGCUGGCUGUGUUUUUAACCUUGUUUGGACUCUCACCACUGAUGCCCGCUUUUUAUCCACUCAAUGCCAUUGCCAGGAGCAAUUGUCUCACAUAAACCUUCAAUGUUCUAAAACUGCUCUUGCUGAUGGAGGAAGAGAAAAGCCAUGGCUUCCAACUUCCAUGAUGUUGACCCCUGACCACAUUCAAAAUGAGGCUUAAACUGGAGUCUUACAUUUUCUCAGCUUCCAUAGUUACAAGGUUCUGGUUGGUCAUCUAAGGAGGAAAAGAAAAUGCAUCGAGCAGCAAGAUUUGCAGAGUGGGUUAAGACCCUGGAUACACUUCACAACAGUACUGGGUUCAGGUUAGUGAGAAGAACCUCCAGACUGUCUGGCUUCGCUCUCGCUCGGGUGUACGUUGUCUGCAUCCAUGGACACACUUCCUUGUAUUUAACGACAUAAGAUAUGAUUCUUCCAUUUGGGUUGGGAGGAGUGUUCCAUGAAAGAAGAAUCCCAGCAGAGCCAACUCUCUCCCCGGCGAGGAAGACUGGAGGUCCCGGUUCUAUUUUUAAAAAUUCGUGUUAUUAAAUGAUCAAAUAAAUAUUCUAUUUCCACCAAAACAA